This 63-nucleotide transfer RNA is filed under the name Epuraea guttata. RNAcentral's name for it is "tRNA-Ile". Lineage: Eukaryota; Metazoa; Arthropoda; Insecta; Coleoptera; Nitidulidae. The record is from RNAcentral.
AAUGGAGUGCCUGAAAAAAGGGCUAUUUUGAUAGAGUAGAUUAUGUAUAUUUUACCUUCAUUA